Aspergillus fumigatus Af293 is the source of this 217-nucleotide small RNA. It matches the Rfam family "A. fumigatus sRNA Afu_182". NCBI's taxonomy places the organism in Eukaryota, Fungi, Ascomycota, Eurotiomycetes, Eurotiales, Aspergillaceae. The record is from Rfam.
UCAUGAACAACGCAAAUAACAACAUUCUUUCAAAAGCGUUCCUACGAGGAUUAUCCUCCUCUACGGGAGAGAUAGGCCGAUGAAGUACGGAAAUCGUCAUAUAGAAUGGAGAGGGAUUGUGGGAUAUCCGCAAAGUGUCGAUCUUGGGUGCAGUGUCUGACUUGAUCUCGUCUAAUGGCGAGCUCGGUGGAAGGGACUGCAAUGAUUGGCUCUACAG